AGUGAACGCUGGCGGUAGGCCUAACACAUGCAAGUCGAACGGCAGCACAGUAAGAGCUUGCUCUUACGGGUGGCGAGUGGCGGACGGGUGAGGAAUACAUCGGAAUCUACUUUUUCGUGGGGGAUGACGUAGGGAAACUUACGCUAAUACCGCAUACGACCUACGGGUGAAAGCAGGGGAUCUUCGGACCUUGCGCGAUUGAAUGAGCCGAUGUCGGAUUAGCUAGUUGGCGGGGUAAAGGCCCACCAAGGCGACGAUCCGUAGCUGGUCUGAGAGGAUGAUCGGCCACACUGGAACUGAGACACGGUCCAGACUCCUACGGGAGGCAGCAGUGGGGAAUAUUGGACAAUGGGCGCAAGCCUGAUCCAGCCAUACCGCGUGGGUGAAGAAGGCCUUCGGGUUGUAAAGCCCUUUUGUUGGGAAAGAAAAGCAGCAGGUUAAUACCCCGCUGUUCUGACGGUACCCAAAGAAUAAGCACCGGCUAACUUCGUG
RNAcentral lists this ribosomal RNA (492 nucleotides) under uncultured bacterium. Its description in RNAcentral is "partial 16S ribosomal RNA". It matches the Rfam family "Bacterial small subunit ribosomal RNA", at positions 29 to 507 of the family's 1533-position model. The record is from RNAcentral.